ACGCUCGACACCUACGGAGGCAGCAGUAGGGAAUCUUCCACAAUGGGCGCAAGCCUGAUGGAGCAACACCGCGUGAGUGAAGAAGGGUUUCGGCUCGUAAAGCUCUGUUGUUGGAGAAGAACGUGCGUGAGAGUAACUGUUCACGCAGUGACGGUAUCCAACCAGAAAGUCACGGCUAACUACGUGACAGCAGCCGCGGUAAUCUGAGCGGGCUGGCAAGGC
This 222-nucleotide ribosomal RNA is filed under the name uncultured bacterium. Its description in RNAcentral is "partial 16S ribosomal RNA". It matches the Rfam family "Bacterial small subunit ribosomal RNA", at positions 328 to 539 of the family's 1533-position model. The record is from RNAcentral.